RNAcentral lists this long non-coding RNA (574 nucleotides) under Homo sapiens (human). RNAcentral's name for it is "HSALNT0326357". Lineage: Eukaryota; Metazoa; Chordata; Mammalia; Primates; Hominidae. The record is from RNAcentral.
CUUCCACAUACAAGAUAGUGGGCUAGGCACCAGGAAUACAACAGGAAACACACUAGACAUGGCUCUGCCCUCACGGGGCUUUUCUAAUACCACAGUUCAGUAGAUGAUGAUAUCCUUACUGGACCAGACACACAACCAACUUCAUUUACUCCAGAAUUGGGCUCCACAGUUGCAGCUGUCCUGGGAAGCACAUAGGCUCAGAUUCCAUACCCUGAGUGGUAAGGUCUUGAGCAUUUUGGCUCUUAAUCACUCACUGAAGUAGAAAGAAUCCACCUCCUUGCCCAAGCACUGAGUCCCUGGUGUCAAGCCCGAGUGACCAACUGAGAAUGCACUUGCCCUUCAGAAAUGGACACAUGUUGAAAGAAGAUGAUGUGAAGGGACACUGGGAGAAGCUGGCCAUCAGCCAUCCACAAGCCAAGGAGAGAGGUGUGGGACAGAACCCUCCUUCACAGCCCUUAGAAGGAACCAACCCGGUUGAUACCUUCAGACUUCUAGACUCUGAAACCGUGAGACAAUAAAUUUCUGUUGUUAAGCCACCUAGUUUGUGGUACUUUGUUAUGGCAACCCUAGCAAA